This 62-nucleotide transfer RNA is filed under the name Isonychia ignota. RNAcentral describes it as "tRNA-Thr". Lineage: Eukaryota; Metazoa; Arthropoda; Insecta; Ephemeroptera; Isonychiidae. The record is from RNAcentral.
GCUCCAGUAGUUUAUUCAAAACGCCGGCCUUGUAAGUCGGGGAUGGGAGUGCCCCUGGGGCU